AAUUCGAUGCAAACCGAAGAACCUUACCUGGGUUUGACAUACAGGUGGUAGAGCGAAGAGAUUCAAUCGACUCUGCAGUAAUGCAGAGAGCCUGCACAGGUGCUGCAUGGCUGUCGUCAGCUCGUGUCGUGAGAUGUUGGGUUAAGUCCCGCAACGAGCGCAACCCUUAUUGCCAGUUGCUAACAGGAGAGCUGAGCACUCUGGCGAGACUGCCGCCGACAAGGCGGAGGAAGGUGGGGAUGACGUCAAGUCAUCAUGGCCUUUAUGCCCAGGGCUACACACGUGCUACAAUGGCCGGCACAGACGGCAGCUUAGUGGCGACACUUGGCAAAUCCUCUAAAGCCGGUCCCAGUUCGGAUUGCAGUCUGCAACUCGACUGCAUGAAGCCGGAAUCGCUAGUAAUCGCAGAUCAGCCAAGCUGCGGUGAAUACGUUCCCGGGCCUU
This 444-nucleotide ribosomal RNA is filed under the name uncultured Synergistaceae bacterium. Its description in RNAcentral is "bacterial SSU rRNA". It matches the Rfam family "Bacterial small subunit ribosomal RNA", at positions 948 to 1382 of the family's 1533-position model. The record is from RNAcentral. Lineage: Bacteria; Thermotogati; Synergistota; Synergistia; Synergistales; Synergistaceae.